This 242-nucleotide ribosomal RNA is filed under the name Escherichia coli. RNAcentral describes it as "partial 16S ribosomal RNA". It matches the Rfam family "Bacterial small subunit ribosomal RNA", at positions 1 to 239 of the family's 1533-position model. The record is from RNAcentral. Lineage: Bacteria; Pseudomonadati; Pseudomonadota; Gammaproteobacteria; Enterobacterales; Enterobacteriaceae.
AAAUUGAAGAGUUUGAUCAUGGCUCAGAUUGAACGCUGGCGGCAGGCCUAACACAUGCAAGUCGAACGGUAACAGAAAGCAGCUUGCUGCUUUGCUGACGAGUGGCGGACGGGUGAGUAAUGUCUGGGAAACUGCCCGAUGGAGGGGGAUAACUACUGGAAACGGUAGCUAAUACCGCAUAACGUCGCAAGACCAAAGAGGGGGACCUUAGGGCCUCUUGCCAUCGGAUGUGCCCAGAUGGG